AACGAACGCUGGCGGCAGGCUUAACACAUGCAAGUCGAACGCAUCCUUCGGGGUGAGUGGCAGACGGGUGAGUAACGCGUGGGAACGUGCCCUUCAGUUCGGGAUAACCCAGGGAAACUUGGGCUAAUACCGGAUACGUGCGAGAGCAGAAAGAUUUAUCGCUGAAGGAUCGGCCCGCGUCUGAUUAGCUAGUUGGUGGGGUAAUGGCCCACCAAGGCGACGAUCAGUAGCUGGUCUGAGAGGAUGAUCAGCCACAUUGGGACUGAGACGCGGCCCAAACUCCUACGGGAGGCAGCAUUGGGGAAUAUUGGACAAUGGGCGCAAGCCUGAUCCAGCCAUGCCGCGUGAGUGAUGAAGGCCUUAGGGUUGUAAAGCUCUUUCGUCCGGGACGAUAAUGACGGUACCGGAAGAAGAAGCCCCGGCUAACUUCGUGCCAGCCGCCGCUGUAA
RNAcentral lists this ribosomal RNA (449 nucleotides) under uncultured bacterium. RNAcentral describes it as "partial 16S ribosomal RNA". It matches the Rfam family "Bacterial small subunit ribosomal RNA", at positions 29 to 523 of the family's 1533-position model. The record is from RNAcentral.